RNAcentral lists this ribosomal RNA (468 nucleotides) under uncultured bacterium. RNAcentral describes it as "partial 16S ribosomal RNA". It matches the Rfam family "Bacterial small subunit ribosomal RNA", at positions 28 to 507 of the family's 1533-position model. The record is from RNAcentral.
GACGAACGCUGGCGGCGUGCUUAACACAUGCAAGUCGAACGGAAAGGCCCUGCUUUUGUGGGGUGCUCGAGUGGCGAACGGGUGAGUAACACGUGAGUAACCUGCCCUUGACUUUGGGAUAACUUCAGGAAACUGGGGCUAAUACCGGAUAGGAGCUCCUGCUGCAUGGUGGGGGUUGGAAAGUUUCGGCGGUUGGGGAUGGACUCGCGGCUUAUCAGCUUGUUGGUGGGGUAGUGGCUUACCAAGGCUUUGACGGGUAGCCGGCCUGAGAGGGUGACCGGCCACAUUGGGACUGAGAUACGGCGCAGACUCCUACGGGAGGCAGCAGUGGGGAAUAUGGCACAAUGGGCGGAAGCCUGAUGCAGCAACGCCGCGUGCGGGAUGACGGCCUUCGGGUUGUAAACCGCUUUCGCCUGUGACGAAGCGUGAGUGACGGUAAUGGGUAAAGAAGCACCGGCUAACUACGUG